RNAcentral lists this long non-coding RNA (518 nucleotides) under Glycine max (soybean). Its description in RNAcentral is "long non-coding RNA (GMAX_LNC000298)". Lineage: Eukaryota; Viridiplantae; Streptophyta; Magnoliopsida; Fabales; Fabaceae. The record is from RNAcentral.
GCAAAUGGACUAAAGUGAUAAUAAUAAUGAAUAACAAUUCAUGUUCCACUCUCUUUCAUCAUGAUACUCAACAGAGAGACAGAAAAAAUAACCAUGAAACUAAAAAAACACAUUAAAGUAGUUGCAAAAAGAAAUAAAAGUGAGUUUUUGUUUCAACUUUGGUCGGCUAUGUAGUACAAAUGAUCAUCGUGUUUCUCACACAAACACGCUCAACACACACAUAUAUAGAUACAAUUUAUCACAAAAGAGUCAAUCUAUGUUAGUAUUCAGUGCAUAUUAAUUGUCCUCUGCUUGUACCAAACAUAAUAACAAAGCAAGACAACUUAAAGUUGACAUUAAGCUCCUAAAAUAAAUAGCAUUGCAUUUCUUGUUUCCAACCAUUUAAAAUAAAACCAUUGAAAAAAGUGAUCAAAGCAAACAAAUUUCGUUUUAACAUUUGCAAGCGGCAAUAACAUACUAAGGAAAACAUACCCGAGAAGUGGAGGGGGAGACAACAAAAAAAUGAGUGUAAAACCAAG